CCUACGUGCGGCAGCAGUGAGGAAUAUUGGUCAAUGGGCGCGAGCCUGAACCAGCCAAGUAGCGUGAAGGAUGACUGCCCUACGGGUUGUAAACUUCUUUUAUAAAGGAAUAAAGUGAGCCACGUGUGCCUUUUUGUAUGUACUUUAUGAAUAAGGAUCGGCUAACUCCGUGCCAGCAGCCGCGGUAAUACGGAGGAUCCGAGCGUUAUCCGGAUUUAUUGGGUUUAAAGGGAGCGUAGAUGGGUUGUUAAGUCAGUUGUGAAAGUUUGCGGCUCAACCGUAAAAUUGCAAUUGAUACUGGCAGUCUUGAGUACAGUUGAGGUAGGCGGAAUUCGUGGUGUAGCGGUGAAAUGCUUAGAUAUCACGAAGAACUCCGAUUGCGAAGGCAGCUUACUAAACUGCCACUGACAUUGAUGCUCGAAAGUGUGGGUAUCAAACAGGAUUAGAUACCCCAGUAGUC
Molecule: ribosomal RNA, 460 nt
Filed under: uncultured bacterium
Lineage: Bacteria
Description: partial 16S ribosomal RNA
Rfam family: Bacterial small subunit ribosomal RNA
Source: RNAcentral